RNAcentral lists this ribosomal RNA (2904 nucleotides) under Escherichia coli. Its description in RNAcentral is "23S ribosomal RNA". It matches the Rfam family "Bacterial large subunit ribosomal RNA". The record is from RNAcentral. Lineage: Bacteria; Pseudomonadati; Pseudomonadota; Gammaproteobacteria; Enterobacterales; Enterobacteriaceae.
GGUUAAGCGACUAAGCGUACACGGUGGAUGCCCUGGCAGUCAGAGGCGAUGAAGGACGUGCUAAUCUGCGAUAAGCGUCGGUAAGGUGAUAUGAACCGUUAUAACCGGCGAUUUCCGAAUGGGGAAACCCAGUGUGUUUCGACACACUAUCAUUAACUGAAUCCAUAGGUUAAUGAGGCGAACCGGGGGAACUGAAACAUCUAAGUACCCCGAGGAAAAGAAAUCAACCGAGAUUCCCCCAGUAGCGGCGAGCGAACGGGGAGGAGCCCAGAGCCUGAAUCAGUGUGUGUGUUAGUGGAAGCGUCUGGAAAGGCGCGCGAUACAGGGUGACAGCCCCGUACACAAAAAUGCACAUGCUGUGAGCUCGAUGAGUAGGGCGGGACACGUGGUAUCCUGUCUGAAUAUGGGGGGACCAUCCUCCAAGGCUAAAUACUCCUGACUGACCGAUAGUGAACCAGUACCGUGAGGGAAAGGCGAAAAGAACCCCGGCGAGGGGAGUGAAAAAGAACCUGAAACCGUGUACGUACAAGCAGUGGGAGCACGCUUAGGCGUGUGACUGCGUACCUUUUGUAUAAUGGGUCAGCGACUUAUAUUCUGUAGCAAGGUUAACCGAAUAGGGGAGCCGAAGGGAAACCGAGUCUUAACUGGGCGUUAAGUUGCAGGGUAUAGACCCGAAACCCGGUGAUCUAGCCAUGGGCAGGUUGAAGGUUGGGUAACACUAACUGGAGGACCGAACCGACUAAUGUUGAAAAAUUAGCGGAUGACUUGUGGCUGGGGGUGAAAGGCCAAUCAAACCGGGAGAUAGCUGGUUCUCCCCGAAAGCUAUUUAGGUAGCGCCUCGUGAAUUCAUCUCCGGGGGUAGAGCACUGUUUCGGCAAGGGGGUCAUCCCGACUUACCAACCCGAUGCAAACUGCGAAUACCGGAGAAUGUUAUCACGGGAGACACACGGCGGGUGCUAACGUCCGUCGUGAAGAGGGAAACAACCCAGACCGCCAGCUAAGGUCCCAAAGUCAUGGUUAAGUGGGAAACGAUGUGGGAAGGCCCAGACAGCCAGGAUGUUGGCUUAGAAGCAGCCAUCAUUUAAAGAAAGCGUAAUAGCUCACUGGUCGAGUCGGCCUGCGCGGAAGAUGUAACGGGGCUAAACCAUGCACCGAAGCUGCGGCAGCGACGCUUAUGCGUUGUUGGGUAGGGGAGCGUUCUGUAAGCCUGUGAAGGUGUGCUGUGAGGCAUGCUGGAGGUAUCAGAAGUGCGAAUGCUGACAUAAGUAACGAUAAAGCGGGUGAAAAGCCCGCUCGCCGGAAGACCAAGGGUUCCUGUCCAACGUUAAUCGGGGCAGGGUGAGUCGACCCCUAAGGCGAGGCCGAAAGGCGUAGUCGAUGGGAAACAGGUUAAUAUUCCUGUACUUGGUGUUACUGCGAAGGGGGGACGGAGAAGGCUAUGUUGGCCGGGCGACGGUUGUCCCGGUUUAAGCGUGUAGGCUGGUUUUCCAGGCAAAUCCGGAAAAUCAAGGCUGAGGCGUGAUGACGAGGCACUACGGUGCUGAAGCAACAAAUGCCCUGCUUCCAGGAAAAGCCUCUAAGCAUCAGGUAACAUCAAAUCGUACCCCAAACCGACACAGGUGGUCAGGUAGAGAAUACCAAGGCGCUUGAGAGAACUCGGGUGAAGGAACUAGGCAAAAUGGUGCCGUAACUUCGGGAGAAGGCACGCUGAUAUGUAGGUGAAGUCCCUCGCGGAUGGAGCUGAAAUCAGUCGAAGAUACCAGCUGGCUGCAACUGUUUAUUAAAAACACAGCACUGUGCAAACACGAAAGUGGACGUAUACGGUGUGACGCCUGCCCGGUGCCGGAAGGUUAAUUGAUGGGGUCAGCGCAAGCGAAGCUCUUGAUCGAAGCCCCGGUAAACGGCGGCCGUAACUAUAACGGUCCUAAGGUAGCGAAAUUCCUUGUCGGGUAAGUUCCGACCUGCACGAAUGGCGUAAUGAUGGCCAGGCUGUCUCCACCCGAGACUCAGUGAAAUUGAACUCGCUGUGAAGAUGCAGUGUACCCGCGGCAAGACGGAAAGACCCCGUGAACCUUUACUAUAGCUUGACACUGAACAUUGAGCCUUGAUGUGUAGGAUAGGUGGGAGGCUUAGAAGUGUGGACGCCAGUCUGCAUGGAGCCGACCUUGAAAUACCACCCUUUAAUGUUUGAUGUUCUAACGUUGACCCGUAAUCCGGGUUGCGGACAGUGUCUGGUGGGUAGUUUGACUGGGGCGGUCUCCUCCUAAAGAGUAACGGAGGAGCACGAAGGUUGGCUAAUCCUGGUCGGACAUCAGGAGGUUAGUGCAAUGGCAUAAGCCAGCUUGACUGCGAGCGUGACGGCGCGAGCAGGUGCGAAAGCAGGUCAUAGUGAUCCGGUGGUUCUGAAUGGAAGGGCCAUCGCUCAACGGAUAAAAGGUACUCCGGGGAUAACAGGCUGAUACCGCCCAAGAGUUCAUAUCGACGGCGGUGUUUGGCACCUCGAUGUCGGCUCAUCACAUCCUGGGGCUGAAGUAGGUCCCAAGGGUAUGGCUGUUCGCCAUUUAAAGUGGUACGCGAGCUGGGUUUAGAACGUCGUGAGACAGUUCGGUCCCUAUCUGCCGUGGGCGCUGGAGAACUGAGGGGGGCUGCUCCUAGUACGAGAGGACCGGAGUGGACGCAUCACUGGUGUUCGGGUUGUCAUGCCAAUGGCACUGCCCGGUAGCUAAAUGCGGAAGAGAUAAGUGCUGAAAGCAUCUAAGCACGAAACUUGCCCCGAGAUGAGUUCUCCCUGACUCCUUGAGAGUCCUGAAGGAACGUUGAAGACGACGACGUUGAUAGGCCGGGUGUGUAAGCGCAGCGAUGCGUUGAGCUAACCGGUACUAAUGAACCGUGAGGCUUAACCUU